Molecule: ribosomal RNA, 500 nt
Filed under: uncultured bacterium
Lineage: Bacteria
Description: partial 16S ribosomal RNA
Rfam family: Bacterial small subunit ribosomal RNA
Source: RNAcentral
AUUGAACGCUGGCGGCAGGCCUAACACAUGCAAGUCGAGCGGUAGAGAGAAGCUUGCUUCUCUUGAGAGCGGCGGACGGGUGAGUAAUGCCUAGGAAUCUGCCUGGUAGUGGGGGAUAACGUUCGGAAACGGACGCUAAUACCGCAUACGUCCUACGGGAGAAAGCAGGGGACCUUCGGGCCUUGCGCUAUCAGAUGAGCCUAGGUCGGAUUAGCUAGUUGGUAAGGUAAUGGCUCACCAAGGCGACAAUCCGUAACUGGUCUGAGAGGAUGAUCAGUCACACUGGAACUGAGACACGGUCCAGACUCCUACGGGAGGCAGCAGUGGGGAAUAUUGGAAAAUGGGCGAAAGCCUGAUCCAGCCAUGCCGCGUGUGUGAAGAAGGUCUUCGGAUUGUAAAGCACUUUAAGUUGGGAGGAAGGGUUGUAGAUUAAUACUCUGCAAUUUUGACGUUACCGACAGAAUAAGCACCGGCUAACUCUGUGCCAGCCGCCGCCGUAA